This 464-nucleotide ribosomal RNA is filed under the name uncultured bacterium. Its description in RNAcentral is "bacterial SSU rRNA". It matches the Rfam family "Bacterial small subunit ribosomal RNA", at positions 33 to 507 of the family's 1533-position model. The record is from RNAcentral.
GACACGCUGGCGGCGUGCUUAACACAUGCAAGUCGAACGGUGACGAGGAGCUUGCUCCUCUGAUCAGUGGCGAACGGGUGAGUAACACGUGAGCAACCUGCCCCAGACUCUGGGAUAACAGUUGGAAACAGCUGCUAAUACCGGAUACGAGACGGAGAGGCAUCUCUACCGUCUGGAAAGUUUUUCGGUCUGGGAUGGACUCGCGGCCUAUCAGCUAGUUGGUGAGGUAAUGGCUCACCAAGGCGACGACGGGUAGCCGGCCUGAGAGGGCGACCGGCCACACUGGGACUGAGACACGGCCCAGACUCCUACGGGAGGCAGCAGUGGGGAAUAUUGCACAAUGGGCGAAAGCCUGAUGCAGCGACGCCGCGUGAGGGAUGAUGGCCUUCGGGUUGUAAACCUCUUUCAGCAGGGAAGAAGCGAAAGUGACGGUACCUGCAGAAGAAGCACCGGCUAACUACGUG